GGGUAUAGCUCAGUGGUAGAGUGCGUGCUUAACAUGCACGAACGAGGUCCUGGGUUCAAUCCCCAGUACCUCCA
RNAcentral lists this transfer RNA (74 nucleotides) under Camelus bactrianus (Bactrian camel). It matches the Rfam family "tRNA". From Rfam's summary of the family: Transfer RNA (tRNA) molecules are approximately 80 nucleotides in length. Their secondary structure includes four short double-helical elements and three loops (D, anti-codon, and T loops). RNAcentral also lists the same sequence under 2 other names. The record is from Rfam by way of RNAcentral. Lineage: Eukaryota; Metazoa; Chordata; Mammalia; Artiodactyla; Camelidae.